UAUAAUGCAGUCGAGCGAACAGAUAAGGAGCUUGCUCCUUUGACGUUAGCGGCGGACGGGUGAGUAACACGUGGGUAACCUACCUAUAAGACUGGAAUAACUCCGGGAAACCGGGGCUAAUGCCGGAUAACAUUUAGAACCGCAUGGUUCUAAAGUGAAAGAUGGUUUUGCUAUCACUUAUAGAUGGACCCGCGCCGUAUUAGCUAGUUGGUAAGGUAACGGCUUACCAAGGCAACGAUACGUAGCCGACCUGAGAGGGUGAUCGGCCACACUGGAACUGAGACACGGUCCAGACUCCUACGGGAGGCAGCAGUAGGGAAUCUUCCGCAAUGGGCGAAAGCCUGACGGAGCAACGCCGCGUGAGUGAUGAAGGGUUUCGGCUCGUAAAACUCUGUUAUUAGGGAAGAACAAACGUGUAAGUAACUGUGCACGUCUUGACGGUACCUAAUCAGAAAGCCACGGCUAACUACGUGCCAGCAGCCGCGGUAAUACGUAGGUGGCAAGCGUUAUCCGGAAUUAUUGGGCGUAAAGCGCGCGUAGGCGGUUUCUUAAGUCUGAUGUGAAAGCCCACGGCUCAACCGUGGAGGGUCAUUGGAAACUGGGAGACUUGAGUGCAGAAGAGGAAAGUGGAAUUCCAUGUGUAGCGGUGAAAUGCGCAGAGAUAUGGAGGAACACCAGUGGCGAAGGCGACUUUCUGGUCUGUAACUGACGCUGAUGUGCGAAAGCGUGGGGAUCAAACAGGAUUAGAUACCCUGGUAGUCCACGCCGUAAACGAUGAGUGCUAAGUG
RNAcentral lists this ribosomal RNA (788 nucleotides) under Staphylococcus arlettae. Its description in RNAcentral is "bacterial SSU rRNA". It matches the Rfam family "Bacterial small subunit ribosomal RNA", at positions 50 to 822 of the family's 1533-position model. Lineage: Bacteria; Bacillati; Bacillota; Bacilli; Caryophanales; Staphylococcaceae. The record is from RNAcentral.